AUUUCACGUGUAGGGGUAAAAUCCGUAGAGAUGUGAAGGAACACCGGGGGCGAAGGCGCCUUCCUGGACGACUACUGACGCUGAGGCGCGAAAGCGUGGGGAGCAAACAGGAUUAGAUACCCUGGUAGUCCACGCCGUAAACGAUGAACACUAGUUAUUGGGGGUAUUGACUCCCUCAGCGACGCAGCUAACGCAUUAAGUGUUCCGCCUGGGGAGUACGGUCGCAAGACUAAAACUCAAACAAAUUGACGGGGGCCCGCAUAAGCGGUGGAUUAUGUGGUUUAAUUCGAAGCAACGCGCAGAACCUUACCUAGGCUUGAACUCCUACGAAUCCGGGGUAAUGCCUGGAGUGUCCGCAAGGAAAUUGAGUGAGAGGUGCUGCAUGGCUGUCGUCAGCUCGUGUUGUGAAAUGUUGGGUUAAGUCUCGCAACGAGCGCAACCUCUAUCGUCUGUUGCCAGCAUUAAGUUGGGCACUCUGACGAGACUGCCUGGGUUAACCAGGAGGAAGGUGGGGAUGACGUCAAGUCCUCAUGGCCCUUAUGUCUAGGGCUACACACGUAAUA
RNAcentral lists this ribosomal RNA (563 nucleotides) under uncultured Bacteriovoracaceae bacterium. RNAcentral describes it as "bacterial SSU rRNA". It matches the Rfam family "Bacterial small subunit ribosomal RNA", at positions 666 to 1227 of the family's 1533-position model. The record is from RNAcentral. Lineage: Bacteria; Pseudomonadati; Bdellovibrionota; Bacteriovoracia; Bacteriovoracales; Bacteriovoracaceae.